Molecule: ribosomal RNA, 629 nt
Filed under: uncultured bacterium
Lineage: Bacteria
Description: bacterial SSU rRNA
Rfam family: Bacterial small subunit ribosomal RNA
Source: RNAcentral
GAGUUUGAACCUGGCUCAGGAUGAACGCUGGCGGCGUGCCUAACACAUGCAAGUCGAACGGGUGUACGGGGAGGAAGGCUUCGGCCAGAAAACCUGUGCAUGAGUGGCGGACGGGUGAGUAACGCGUGGGCAACCUGGCCUGUACAGGGGGAUAACACUUAGAAAUAGGUGCUAAUACCGCAUAACGGGGGAAGCCGCAUGGCUUUUCCCUGAAAACUCCGGUGGUACAGGAUGGGCCCGCGUCUGAUUAGCCAGUUGGCAGGGUAACGGCCUACCAAAGCGACGAUCAGUAGCCGGCCUGAGAGGGCGGACGGCCACACUGGGACUGAGACACGGCCCAGACUCCUACGGGAGGCAGCAGUGGGGGAUAUUGCACAAUGGGGGGAACCCUGAUGCAGCGACGCCGCGUGGGUGAAGAAGCGCCUCGGCGCGUAAAGCCCUGUCAGCAGGGAAGAAAAUGACGGUACCUGAAGAAGAAGCCCCGGCUAACUACGUGCCAGCAGCCGCGGUAAUACGUAGGGGGCAAGCGUUAUCCGGAUUUACUGGGUGUAAAGGGGGCGCAGAUGGCGAUGCAAGCCAGGAGUGAAAGCCCGGGGCCCCAACCCCGGGACUGCUCUUGGAACUGCGUG